Molecule: long non-coding RNA, 205 nt
Filed under: Hordeum vulgare
Lineage: Eukaryota; Viridiplantae; Streptophyta; Magnoliopsida; Poales; Poaceae
Description: long non-coding RNA (HVUL_LNC021672)
Source: RNAcentral
AAAUAUAGAAGUGAUGAAUGCUGUGAAUAUUCCUUUCUUCUCCGUAAAAUUAAGUCUAUCAAUCAGUCCUUUUCUGAACUGAUUUCUAUAGCCCUGCUUCCCUCCCGCAAUCGGAGUGAAACUACCAUAAAAGGUUUGUCUUGAAAAGAAAUAGUGCCACUGGCAGCCACUAUAUGAGUGAGAUAGACUUGAUUCUUUCUCUGGC